AUGUGGCUGACCAUGUAUCUAGCACACGCGCUGCAAGAACAGGAUGUCUUGUCCUUGAAGGAGUUGGUUGACACUAAAACAUUGGAGGAAUCACCCAUCACUGCCACUUCCUUGCCCUCUCCGCAGGACACGAUUGAGAUCUCACCAUCAUCAUGGUGCUGCCUUUCCUCCAACCCCAGCAUGGCUAGAGAAGGCAGGGUCCACCGAGCUGCAUCUGGCUUCCUCGGUGAUGAAGAAGCCGCAGGUAUGCACGGCUUCUCCACUUCCUCGUCCUCUAAUUUAAUCUCUAAUUUAAUCGCUGGUCUCUUGGCCUCCUAUUGGAGCUCGCUUGGUUGGCCGGUAGAUUGCUUUGAUUUAGGGCCUCAUCUGAUUAUACCUUCUAGGAUGAUUCAACAAAUGGGGCCACGAACUUUAGCACGCUAA
Molecule: ribosomal RNA, 423 nt
Filed under: Triticum aestivum (bread wheat)
Lineage: Eukaryota; Viridiplantae; Streptophyta; Magnoliopsida; Poales; Poaceae
Description: partial small subunit ribosomal RNA
Source: RNAcentral